Molecule: non-coding RNA, 626 nt
Organism: Macaca mulatta (Rhesus monkey)
Lineage: Eukaryota; Metazoa; Chordata; Mammalia; Primates; Cercopithecidae
Source: RefSeq, a predicted model, not a curated record
AUAUCAUGUAUAGGACACAUGUAUACAAAUUUUUGGUGUCAAUUAAAAAGUAAAUUAACAUAAAACAACCUGGACAUCAUAACUUAACAAAUGUGACUCAAGAUCUGAGGAGGUCAACUCAGAAGGAAAGCACUUAGCAUAUUGAUAUGGACAGGAGACAGGGAAAUACUGGUCAGAAGAGGGCAGUUCCCUAGCAAAGGCUGCACCUUCAAGCCUUGAAACCUGUGGCCCUACAUGGGUACAGGCAUUCCUGUUUCCACACCCCAAGCCUGGAAACCUGGUAAUGUAAAUGGCUCUAAAUGAAAACAGGUAUGCCUAAAUGAAACCAAACACUAUUGGCCUACCAUGUCCCUGUAUCCUGUACCCAUAUAAACCCCAAGCCCCAGGCUCCAUGAGCUGACAAGCAGAAGAGCAGAGGAACAGAAGAGCAGUGCAACAGAGAAGGAGAGAAGAGGAGCAUCUGAAUAUUGAGCAGAAUUCGGCUGGGGAAGGUCAGAGAGAAGAUCGGCCACUGGAUGGCUGAAAUCCAGGGGAAGAUCAUCUUCCCACUCCAUCCCCUUUCUAGCUCCCCAUUCAUCCAGCUGAGAGCCUCCACCUGGCAAUAAAAUCCCCUACAUUUACUAUUC